GCCUUCUGGGUUGUAAACUGCUUUUAUCUGGGAAGAAAACGCUCCUGCGGGAGUAACUGACGGUACCAGAUGAAUAAGCACCGGCUAACUCCGUGCCAGCAGCCGCGGUAAUACGGAGGGUGCAAGCGUUGUCCGGAUUUAUUGGGUUUAAAGGGUGCGUAGGCGGCCCGUUAAGUCAGCGGUGAAAUCCCAGGGCUCAACCCUGGAACUGCCGUUGAUACUGGCGGGCUUGAGUUCGGUCGAGGCGGGCGGAACUGGUGGUGUAGCGGUGAAAUGCUUAGAUACCACCAAGAACCCCGAUUGCGUAGGCAGCUCGCUGGGCCGAAACUGACGCUGAGGCACGAAAGCGUGGGGAGCGAACAGGAUUAGAUACCCUGGUAGUCCACGCCGUAAACGAUGAUGACUCGAUGCUGGCGAUAUACAGUCAGUGUCCAAGCGAAAGCGUUAAGUCAUCCACCUGGGGAGUACGCCCGCAAGGGUGAAACUCAAG
RNAcentral lists this ribosomal RNA (490 nucleotides) under uncultured soil bacterium. Its description in RNAcentral is "bacterial SSU rRNA". It matches the Rfam family "Bacterial small subunit ribosomal RNA", at positions 414 to 905 of the family's 1533-position model. The record is from RNAcentral.